AGAUUGAACGCUGGCGGCAUGCCUUACACAUGCAAGUCGAACGGCAGCACGGGAGCAAUCCUGGUGGCGAGUGGCGAACGGGUGAGUAAUACAUCGGAACGUGCCCAAUCGUGGGGGAUAACUACGCGAAAGCGUAGCUAAUACCGCAUACGAUCUACGGAUGAAAGCGGGGAUCGCAAGACCUCGCGCGAGUGGAGC
RNAcentral lists this ribosomal RNA (198 nucleotides) under uncultured bacterium. Its description in RNAcentral is "partial small subunit ribosomal RNA". It matches the Rfam family "Bacterial small subunit ribosomal RNA", at positions 26 to 227 of the family's 1533-position model. The record is from RNAcentral.